RNAcentral lists this transfer RNA (71 nucleotides) under Podarcis lilfordi (Lilford's wall lizard). Its description in RNAcentral is "tRNA.Ala". The record is from RNAcentral. Lineage: Eukaryota; Metazoa; Chordata; Lepidosauria; Squamata; Lacertidae.
GGUCUAUAGCUCAGUGGAAGAGCAUCUGCCUUGCAAGAAGAAGGUCCCAAGUUCAAUCCCUGUCAUCUCCA